This 993-nucleotide long non-coding RNA is filed under the name Papio anubis (olive baboon). Its description in RNAcentral is "lncRNA (ENSPANG00000047674.1)". The record is from RNAcentral. Lineage: Eukaryota; Metazoa; Chordata; Mammalia; Primates; Cercopithecidae.
AUGCUGGCGGAAGCUGUGUCUGCUUGUAGGACGCCAUCUCCCCACUGGGGGCCGGGCUGGGGCCGCUCCGCACCCUGGCCGGCCUCCUCCCGGCCCAGCGCCGCUGCUGCCUCCGCCCUGCGCGCUGCGCCCGCCCGCCCGCGCGGCCUGGCCAAACCGCGGCGGCGGCGACGGCAGCGGCAGCGGCGGCAGGGGCCCGCGCGGGGGGCGCCUUGGCUGGGCCCGGCGGCCGGGAGCGCGGCACAGGCGCGAGGGGCGCUGGACGCAGCCGGGAGGGUCGCGGCGCCCCUAGGCUGCCGUGCGGUGCGCCCCGCAGGCGGAACUCCUCUUCCUCCUCCUCCUCCUGUUCCUCGCCGCUCCGCCGGCUCCCUCCAGCCCAGGCUCGGCCGCCUCCCAGCUCCUCCGGAGGGGACAGUGAUCAUGCUUGAGCCCGAGUUAUUUUUAGGGAGGUACGAGUGGCAGUGGGGAGGGCUGCGGGCAGGCGGAGCCUCCUCCCCCACGGCGCUGAGGGUCGCCCCCUCCUCUCAGGGGUUUGUGCCGCCGCCCAGGGGUCUCCGAGAAUCACUUGGAUCUUCCGCGUCCCCAGUCCUCGGGCGCUCGGGUGCCUCGGCCGCCGGUCGGGAGGACGGACCGGGUGGGUCUGGCUCAGGUCCGGGCGCUGCGAAGCCCGAUCGCCUCGGCCGCCGCUCCUGGUCUCUGUCUACUGGGCUCGGCCGUCCCUCCCGACUGCUGCUGCAUCCCCUCGGGCCGCCCAGCCGCCGCCGCGGCCAGAGCACCCGGCCCGGGCUGCAGCCCUCCGGCCCAGUCGCUCUCGGCAACUUUGUUCCUCGUCUGCGCGGGGCGGAGGAGGGGGAAGAGGGUGUUUGGGAAGCGGCGAUUCCCCUCCUCUUCCUCCGCCUCUUCCUCCUCCUGCGCCUUCUCCGGCCGCCGGAGCCGCUCCUCAGGGAGGAAGCGGCCUCCGGGGCUUGUUGCUUUGUGCUGCAACCAUGGUGA